CAGGCUUAACACAUGCAAGUCGAGGGGCAGCAUGGUCUUAGCUUGCUAAGGCCGAUGGCGACCGGCGCACGGGUGAGUAACACGUAUCCAACCUGCCGUCUACUCUUGGACAGCCUUCUGAAAGGAAGAUUAAUACAAGAUGGCAUCAUGAGUCCGCAUGUUCACAUGAUUAAAGGUAUUCCGGUAGACGAUGGGGAUGCGUUCCAUUAGAUAGUAGGCGGGGUAACGGCCCACCUAGUCUUCGAUGGAUAGGGGUUCUGAGAGGAAGGUCCCCCACAUUGGAACUGAGACACGGUCCAAACUCCUACGGGAGGCAGCAGUGAGGAAUAUUGGUCAAUGGGCGAAAGCCUGAACCAGCCAAGUAGCGUGAAGGAUGACUGCCCUAUGGGUUGUAAACUUCUUUUAUAAAGGAAUAAAGUCGGGUAUGGAUACCCGUUUGCAUGUACUUUAUGAAUAAGGAUCGGCUAACUCCGUGCCAGCAGCCGCGGUAAUACGGAGGAUCCGAGCGUUAUCCGGAUUUAUUGGGUUUAAAGGGAGCGUAGAUGGAUGUUUAAGUCAGUUGUGAAAGUUUGCGGCUCAACCGUAAAAUUGCAGUUGAUACUGGAUAUCUUGAGUGCAGUUGAGGCAGGCGGAAUUCGUGGUGUAGCGGUGAAAUUGCUUAGAUAUCACGAAGAACUCCGAUUGCGAAGGCAGCCUGGUAAGCUGCAACUGACAUUGAGGCUCGAAAGUGUGGGUAUCAAACAGGAUUAGAUACCCUGGUAGUCCACACGGUAAACGAUGAAUACUCGCUGUUUGCGAUAUACUGCAAGCGGCCAAGCGAAAGCGUUAAGUAUUCCACCUGGGGAGUACGCCGGCAACGGUGAAACUCAAAGGAAUUGACGGGGGCCCGCACAAGCGGAGGAACAUGUGGUUUAAUUCGAUGAUACGCGAGGAACCUUACCCGGGCUUAAAUUGCAGAUGAAUUACGGUGAAAGCCGUAAGCCGCAAGGCAUCUGUGAAGGUGCUGCAUGGUUGUCGUCAGCUCGUGCCGUGAGGUGUCGGCUUAAGUGCCAUAACGAGCGCAACCCUUGUUGUCAGUUACUAACAGGUUCCGCUGAGGACUCUGACAAGACUGCCAUCGUAAGAUGUGAGGAAGGUGGGGAUGACGUCAAAUCAGCACGGCCCUUACGUCCGGGGCUACACACGUGUUACAAUGGGGGGUACAGAGGGUCGCUACCACGCGAGUGGAUGCCAAUCCCCAAAACCUCUCUCAGUUCGGACUGGAGUCUGCAACCCGACUCCACGAAGCUGGAUUCGCUAGUAAUCGCGCAUCAGCCACGGCGCGGUGAAUACGUUCCCGGGCCUUGUACACACCGCCCGUCAAGCCAUGGGAGCCGGGGGUACCUGAAGUGCGUAACCGCGAGGAGCGCCCUAGGGUAAAACUGGUGACUGGGG
RNAcentral lists this ribosomal RNA (1434 nucleotides) under uncultured organism. RNAcentral's name for it is "16S ribosomal RNA". It matches the Rfam family "Bacterial small subunit ribosomal RNA". The record is from RNAcentral.